GCCAAAGCGGAGCAUGCAAACUUAACUGCUGCACCACGAGGCCAGCCCCUGAAUUUGUAAAUUUGCUUCAGGGACAAUUGACAUCUUUCAAAUAUUAACUCUUCCUAUUCAAGAGCACUCAAUAUCCUUGCACAUUUUUUUAGUGUUUUGGUUGUGCUACUGAGUGUUUUUCUAUUUUAUUAUUAUUGUUUUAAAGUACUAAUUCUUGGUUUUAUUUAUCAAUUCUACUGUUUAUCUAACUUUUGUAUUUCAAUCAUUUAAAUCCUCCUUAUUUUUAGUCUGAGUUAAAUUAUUAAUUCAAUGUUUUAUUCUAUUUCUUUUUCUAAGUACUUAAGUCUAUUAAUUUUUCUGUGAAUAUAGUUGUAGACAAGUCACACAAGUUUUGAUAUCUAUAGUUUUAAUUUUCAUUUUUCUAGAUAUUCUGCACUGUUUCAAUAUCCUACUUGACACAAGAAUAAUGAAGAUAGCAUUUAAAAAUUUCCAGAGUCAUGAAACAUCAACAAGGGAACCUGCGGCAAGCAGAGACCAGAUAAGCCUAUGCACUUGGUGUCCUGCCCUCCUGGAAGGCCGCUGUACCAGAGGAAGCCCAGACUGGCCUCCUUGAGAAUAACAGAGCAUGUGAAAGGAGGCGCCCAGCCAUCCAGCGGUCCCUGCAGCUGCUCAAGUGAGUACAGGCGACAUCAACAGAAGAACCACCCAACCAGUCCAUAGAAGCCUGAGAAACAAUAGAUUAUUUUUUAAGCCACUGGGGUUGGGUUUGUUGCAUAGCAAUAGAUAUCUGAUAUAUUUAAAUUACCCAGAUUGCUAAAAUAAUGUCCUUUGUAGCUGCUUACCACUUUUUUGAUCCAGAAUUGAUUCAAGACUCACACAUUGAAUUUAGUUAUCAUGUUUCUUUAGUGUCUUUUUAUUCAUAUCUGUUCCCUUUCCUAAUUUUUUUGUCUCAAAUGAUAAUGACUUUUUUUUAUUAAAGAAUCUGGGACUGUUGUCUUAUAAAAUAUCUUAUAAUUUUGAUUUGUUUGAAUAUUUCCUUACGAAUACGUUGAGUUUAGACAUUUUUCUCAGAAUAAAGUAGUUAACAUUGUAUAUUUCUCAUCAUGUCAUGUCAAGAGGGAUGCUGAGUUUAAUCAUUUGAUUAAGGUGGUCCUCGUUAGAUUUGUACAUUAUUAAAAAAAUACUUUGAGAAUAUAUAAAUAUUCAAUUCAACAACUAACUUUCACCCAAUGGCUAGAGCAAUGACGAUGAUCCCUGCCUGAAUAAAUUAUUAUAUCAGUGAUUGCAAAAAA
This is a non-coding RNA of Equus caballus (horse), 1283 nucleotides long. The record is from RefSeq and is a predicted model, not a curated record. NCBI's taxonomy places the organism in Eukaryota, Metazoa, Chordata, Mammalia, Perissodactyla, Equidae.